This 434-nucleotide ribosomal RNA is filed under the name uncultured Ruminococcus sp. RNAcentral describes it as "partial 16S ribosomal RNA". It matches the Rfam family "Bacterial small subunit ribosomal RNA", at positions 341 to 792 of the family's 1533-position model. The record is from RNAcentral. Lineage: Bacteria; Bacillati; Bacillota; Clostridia; Eubacteriales; Oscillospiraceae.
ACGGAAGGCAGCAGUGGGGAAUAUUGCACAAUGGGCGCGAGCCUGAUGCGGCGAUGCCGCGUGAGGGAAGAAGGUUUUCGGAUUGUAAACCUCUGUCAACAGGGACGAAAAUGACGGUACCUGUGAAGGAAGCUCCGGCUAACUACGUGCCAGCAGCCGCGGUAAUACGGAGGGAGCAAGCGUUAUCCGGAAUUACUGGGUGUAAAGGGAGUGUAGGCGGGACUGUAAGUCAGAUGUGAAAUAUACCGGCUCAACUGGUAGACUGCAUUUGAAACUGCGGUUCUUGAGUGAAGUAGAGGUAAGCGGAAUUCCUAGUGUAGCGGUGAAAUGCGUAGAUAUUAGGAGGAACAUCAGUGGCGAAGGCGGCUUACUGGGCUUUAACUGACGCUGAGGCUCGAAAGCGUGGGGAGCAAACAGGAUUAGAUACCCUGGUA